UGUUUGAUUUUCCAUUUCUACCAAAUACAACAUGAAGCAUUAUCCAAGGAUGGUGAAUUAGAGGCUUUUAGCAUGUCUUAGCCACUUGGAAAUUCAUAAAGAUAAACUCUGUGAGCUUUAAUUUAAGAAGAAAAAUGGGAAAUCCACAAGAAUUGUGAAGGACACCUCAGAUCCCAGGAAGGAGAAUUCAGGCAAAAAGCCCCCAUGCUGGCAUCAGGCGGAUAAGGGAUUUCAGUCAAGGAGAUGCCUACCUGGGGACAGAAUCUGGAAAAGACCUCAAAAUAGAUCUUCUCAAGGCACCCGGAGGCAAACGAGGCAUAGACACACUAGGAUAAAAGCUGUCUUCAAGUCAGAGCCCUCCCUAGGGCUCCAGGCAGAGCAAAGGACCAGAUCUCCCCCUCUGCACUCCCCACCUACAGAUGAGCACCC
RNAcentral lists this long non-coding RNA (429 nucleotides) under Homo sapiens (human). Its description in RNAcentral is "non-protein coding lnc-ISX-1:2". The record is from RNAcentral. Lineage: Eukaryota; Metazoa; Chordata; Mammalia; Primates; Hominidae.